AACGAACGCUGGCGGCAUGCCUAACACAUGCAAGUCGAACGAGACCUUCGGGUCUAGUGGCGCACGGGUGCGUAACGCGUGGGAACCUGCCCUUAGGUUCGGAAUAACUCCCCGAAAGGGGUGCUAAUACCGGAUAAUGUCUUCGGACCAAAGAUUUAUCGUCUUUGGAUGGGCCCGCGUUGGAUUAGCUAGUUGGUAGGGUAAAAGCCUACCAAGGCGACGAUCCAUAGCUGGUCUGAGAGGAUGAUCAGCCACACUGGGACUGAGACACGGCCCAGACUCCUACGGGAGGCAGCAGUGGGGAAUAUUGGACAAUGGGCGAAAGCCUGAUCCAGCAAUGCCGCGUGAGUGAUGAAGGCCUUAGGGUUGUACAGCUCUUUUACCCGGGAUGAUAAUGACAGUACCGGGAGAAUAAGCUCCGGCUAACUCCGUG
Molecule: ribosomal RNA, 433 nt
Filed under: uncultured bacterium
Lineage: Bacteria
Description: partial 16S ribosomal RNA
Rfam family: Bacterial small subunit ribosomal RNA
Source: RNAcentral